ACGAAAGUCUGACGGAGCAACGCCGCGUGAGUGAAGAAGGUUUUCGGAUCGUAAAGCUCUGUCUUUGAGGACGAAUGUGCUUAAUGUGAAUAAUGUUAAGUAAUGACGGUACUCGAGGAGGAAGCCACGGCUAACUACGUGCCAGCAGCCGCGGUAAUACGUAGGUGGCAAGCGUUGUCCGGAAUUAUUGGGCGUAAAGCGCGCGCAGGCGGGAUAUUAAGUCUGUUUUAAAAGUUCGGGGCUCAACCCCGUGAUGGAAUGGAAACUAAUAUUCUUGAGUGCAGGAGAGGAAAGUGGAAUUCCCAGUGUAGCGGUGAAAUGCGUAGAUAUUGGGAGGAACACCAGUGGCGAAGGCGACUUUCUGGACUGUGUCUGACGCUGAGGCGCGAAAGCCAGGGGAGUGAACGGGAUUAGAUACCCCGGUAAUCCUGGCCGUAAACGAUGGGUACUAGGUGUAGGAGGUAUCGACCCCUUCUGUGCCGAAGUUAACGCAAUAAGUACCCCGCCUGGGGAGU
Molecule: ribosomal RNA, 515 nt
Filed under: uncultured bacterium
Lineage: Bacteria
Description: bacterial SSU rRNA
Rfam family: Bacterial small subunit ribosomal RNA
Source: RNAcentral